RNAcentral lists this ribosomal RNA (253 nucleotides) under uncultured bacterium. RNAcentral describes it as "partial 16S ribosomal RNA". It matches the Rfam family "Bacterial small subunit ribosomal RNA", at positions 524 to 776 of the family's 1533-position model. The record is from RNAcentral.
UACGGGGGGUGCACGCGUUGUGCGGAAUCAUUGGGCGUAAAGCGCGUGUAGGCGGCUAUCUAAGUCUGAUGUGAAAGCCCGGGGCUUAACCCCGGAAGUGCAUUGGAUACUGGAUGGCUAGAGGACGAGAGAGGGAAGUGGAAUUCCUGGUGUAGGGGUGAAAUCCGUAGAUAUCAGGAGGAACAUCGGAGGCGAAGGCGGCUGCCUGGCUCGUUUCUGACGCUGAGACGCGAAAGCGCGGGGAGCAAACAGG